UGCGUAGGUGGUAUGGCAAGUCAGAAGUGAAAACCCAGGGCUUAACUCUGGGACUGCUUUUGAAACUGUCAGACUAGAGUGCAGGAGAGGUAAGCGGAAUUCCUAGUGUAGCGGUGAAAUGCGUAGAUAUUAGGAGGAACAUCAGUGGCGAAGGCGGCCUACUGGACUGAAACUGACACUGAGGCACGAAAGCGUGGGAGCAAACA
RNAcentral lists this ribosomal RNA (206 nucleotides) under uncultured bacterium. RNAcentral's name for it is "partial 16S ribosomal RNA". It matches the Rfam family "Bacterial small subunit ribosomal RNA", at positions 568 to 774 of the family's 1533-position model. The record is from RNAcentral.